AGAGUUUGAUCCUGGCUCAGGAUGAACGCUGGCGGCGUGCUUAACACAUGCAAGUCGAACGGGCACUUCGGUGCUAGUGGCGGACGGGUGAGUAACGCGUGAGAAUCUGUCCUUAGGUCGGGGACAACAGUUGGAAACGACUGCUAAUACCCGAUGUGCCGAGAGGUGAAAGGUUAACUGCCUGAGGGUGAGCUCGCGUCCGAUUAGCUAGUUGGAGUGGUAACGGCACCCCAAGGCAACGAUCGGUAGCUGGUCUGAGAGGAUGAUCAGCCACACUGGGACUGAGACACGGCCCAGACUCCUACGGGAGGCAGCAGUGGGGAAUUUUCCGCAAUGGGCGCAAGCCUGACGGAGCAACGCCGCGUGUGGGAGGAAGGUUUUAGGACUGUAAACCACUUUUCUCAGGGAAGAAGCACUGACGGUACCUGAGGAAUAAGCAUCGGCUAAUUCCGUGCCAGCAGCCGCGGUAAUACGGGAGAUGCAAGCGUUAUCCGGAAUUAUUGGGCGUAAAGCGUUCGUAGGCGGUUUAACAAGUCCGCUGUCAAAUCCCGCAGCUUAACUGCGGACAGGCAGUAGAAACUGUUAAGCUAGAGUGUGGUAGGGGUAAGGGGAAUUCCCAGUGUAGCGGUGAAAUGCGUAGAUAUUGGGAAGAACACCAGCGGCGAAAGCGCCUUACUGGGCCACAACUGACGCUGAGGGACGAAAGCUAGGGGAGCGAAAGGGAUUAGAUACCCCUGUAGUCCUAGCCGUAAACGAUGGACACUAGGUGUUGUCUGUAUCGACCCGGACAGUGCCGUAGCCAACGCGUUAAGUGUCCCGCCUGGGGAGUACGCACGCAAGUGUGAAACUCAAAGGAAUUGACGGGGGCCCGCACAAGCGGUGGAGUAUGUGGUUUAAUUCGAUGCAACGCGAAGAACCUUACCAGGACUUGACAUCCCGCGAACCCUGCCGAAAGGUGGGGGUGCCUUCGGGAGCGCGGAGACAGGUGGUGCAUGGCUGUCGUCAGCUCGUGUCGUGAGAUGUUGGGUUAAGUCCCGCAACGAGCGCAACCCACGUUUUUAGUUGCCAUCAUUCAGUUGGGCACUCUAGAGAGACUGCCGUGGACAACACGGAGGAAGGUGUGGAUGACGUCAAGUCAUCAUGCCCCUUACGUCCUGGGCUACACACGUACUACAAUGCUAGGGACAAAGGGAAGCCAACCCGCGAGGGGGAGCAAACCUCGUAAACCCUGGCUCAGUUCAGAUUGCAGGCUGCAACUCGCCUGCAUGAAGGCGGAAUCGCUAGUAAUCGCAGGUCAGCAUACUGCGGUGAAUACGUUCCCGGGCCUUGUACACACCGCCCGUCACACCAUGGAAGUUGGCCACGCCCGAAGUCGUUACUCUAACCUAAGGGGGGAGGGCGCCGAAGGCAGGGCUGAUGACUGGGGUGAAGUCGUAACAAGGUAACC
This 1447-nucleotide ribosomal RNA is filed under the name uncultured bacterium. RNAcentral describes it as "bacterial SSU rRNA". It matches the Rfam family "Bacterial small subunit ribosomal RNA". The record is from RNAcentral.